GCGGAUGGAGCCCUACGGGAAGGGGCGCCGGUCUCCAAAGCCGGUAGUUGCAGGUUCGAGUCCUGUCAUCCGUGCCA
RNAcentral lists this transfer RNA (77 nucleotides) under Nocardia farcinica. RNAcentral describes it as "tRNA-Trp(cca)". It matches the Rfam family "tRNA". Rfam says of the family: Transfer RNA (tRNA) molecules are approximately 80 nucleotides in length. Their secondary structure includes four short double-helical elements and three loops (D, anti-codon, and T loops). The record is from RNAcentral. Lineage: Bacteria; Bacillati; Actinomycetota; Actinomycetes; Mycobacteriales; Nocardiaceae.